RNAcentral lists this ribosomal RNA (472 nucleotides) under uncultured Anaerolineaceae bacterium. Its description in RNAcentral is "bacterial SSU rRNA". It matches the Rfam family "Bacterial small subunit ribosomal RNA", at positions 897 to 1382 of the family's 1533-position model. The record is from RNAcentral. Lineage: Bacteria; Bacillati; Chloroflexota; Anaerolineae; Anaerolineales; Anaerolineaceae.
AAACUCAAAUGGAUUGACGGGGACCCGCACAAGCAGCGGAGCGUGUGGUUUAAUUCGUUGCUACACGAAGAACCUUACCUGGGUUUGACAUAUAAGUUGUAGGGAACUGAAAAGGGACCGACCCUUCGGGGAGCUUUAUACAGGUGUUGCAUGGCUGUCGUCAGCUCGUGUCGUGAGAUGUUCGGUUAAGUCCGCUAACGAGCGCAACCCUCGCCGUAUGUUACAAGUGUCAUACGGGACUGCCGGUAAAAGCCGGAGGAAGGUGAGGAUGAUGUCAAGUCAGCAUGACCUUUAUAUCCAGGGCUACACACACGCUACAAUGGUCUGUACAAUUGGUUGCCAAGCCGCGAGGCGGAGCCAAUCCGUAAAGCAGGCCUCAGUUCAGAUUGCAGUCUGCAACUCGACUGCAUGAAGCCGGAGUUGCUAGUAACCGCAGGUCAGCAAUACUGCGGUGAAUACGUUCCCGGGUCUU